Molecule: ribosomal RNA, 421 nt
Filed under: uncultured eukaryote
Lineage: Eukaryota
Description: bacterial SSU rRNA
Rfam family: Eukaryotic small subunit ribosomal RNA
Source: RNAcentral
CAAUAGCGUAUAUUAAAGUUGUUGCAGUUAAAAAGCUCGUAGUUGGAUUUCUGUUCUCGAGGAUCGGUCCGCCUCACGGUGAGCACUGGUUUUUCUUGGGGACAUCCUCUCGAAGGCGGGUGGUGCACUUAAUUGUGUGCUGCUUGGAUUCGGGACCUUUACUUUGAAAAAUUAGAGUGUUCAAAGCAGGCGUCGGCUUGAAUACAUUAGCAUGGAAUAAUACUAUAGGAUCUUGGUCCUAUUUUGUUGGUUUCUAGGAUUAAGAUAAUGAUUAAUAGGGACAAUUGGGGGCAUUCGUAUCAACACGUCAGAGGUGGAAUUCUUGGAUUGUGUUGCGACGAACUACUGCGAAAGCAUUUGCCAAGGAUGUUUUCAUUGAUCAAGAACGAAAGUAAGGGGAUCGAAGAUGAUUAGAUACCGU